Molecule: long non-coding RNA, 580 nt
Filed under: Eucalyptus grandis
Lineage: Eukaryota; Viridiplantae; Streptophyta; Magnoliopsida; Myrtales; Myrtaceae
Description: long non-coding RNA (EGRA_LNC007563)
Source: RNAcentral
GCAUUGCUCGUCCUCGGAACAUUUUGGCACCGCCUUCGUGCACUGAGCGCUCUGUGGACCACCCGUCCUCAGGAUCCCGCCUAAGCCAAUCGACUCCAGGACAGCGUUUCAGGAAAAGAAGGCCUUCAUUGCUGGAAAGAGUCCCCUGCGAGCGAGCAAGGCAGGAACUAAAACUUGCUGCUGUCAGUUCUGUUAACUGCAUUGGAUGUGCCUACUGUAAUCAAGGACUCCCAAGUUCGGAUCAUUGUGAAUAUAGCGAUAAGCUGCGCGUGCGAUAAAUAGCUAGGCACGGUAGUUCUUCCGCGGCGCGCGAUGUUAUUGUAUACAUAGUAAAUGUCUUUCCGGUGACGCUCGCAUUGCAGGCUUCAUUUGAAUGGAGUUUGCAGCAUGAUUCGGCUUGUGUAAAUUUCUGCUAAUUUGAAAGUAGUUGCCCGGUGUUGUUGUAUCUGAUGGAAGGAAACUCCCAAUCAUUAUAUCGAGUACAACCUUUUUUUUUUUUUUUGGUCAGUGAGUACAACUUUAUUUUGGGAGAGUAAAUUGAGUUUUGAUGUUGAGAGGAAAUGGGCCGUUUGAGAAAGUG